AGCAGCCGCGGUAAUUCCAGCUCCAAUAGCGUAUAUUAAAGUUGUUGCAGUUAAAAAGCUCGUAGUUGAAUUUCGGGAUCAAUAUGUCAGUCGUGCCUCAGUACGUACUGGCGUCAUUGGUUUCUCCCUUCUGAAGAACCACGAUGUCAUUAAUUUGGUGUCGUGGGGAAUCAGGACUGUUACUUUGAAAAAAUUAGAGUGUUUAAAGCAGGCUCGCGCUUGAAUACAUUAGCAUGGAAUAAUGAAAUAGGACGUUUGAUUCUAUUUUGUUGGUUUCUAGGAUCGACGUAAUGAUUAAUAGGGAUAGUUGGGGGCAUUAGUAUUCAAUUGUCAGAGGUGAAAUUCUUGGAUUUAUUGGACUAACUACUGCGAAAGCAUUUGCCAAGGAUGUUUUCAUUAAUCAAGACGAAAGUUAGGGGAUCGAAGACGAUCAGAUACCGUCGUAGUCUUAACCAUAAACUAUGCCGACUAGGGAUCGGAUGAUGUGAUUUUUUAUGUA
RNAcentral lists this ribosomal RNA (499 nucleotides) under uncultured fungus. RNAcentral's name for it is "SSU rRNA". It matches the Rfam family "Eukaryotic small subunit ribosomal RNA", at positions 569 to 1076 of the family's 1831-position model. Lineage: Eukaryota; Fungi. The record is from RNAcentral.